CCUACGGGAGGCAGCAGUGGGGAAUAUUGCACAAUGGGGGAAACCCUGAUGCAGCAACGCCGCGUGUGUGAAGAAGUAUCUCGGUAUGUAAAGCUCUAUCAGCAGGGAAGAAAAUGCCGGUACCUGACUAAGAAGCCGCGGCUAAAUACGUGACAGCAGCCGCGGGAAUACGUAGGGUGCGAGCGUUAGCCGGUAUGACUGGGUGUAAAGGGAGCGUAGACGGUUUGGCAAGUAUGAAGUGAAAGCCCGGGGCUCAACCCCGGGACUGCUGUGGAAACUGUCUGACUGGAGUGUGGGAGAGGUAAGCGGAAUUCCUAGUGUAGCGGUGAAAUGCGUAGAUAUUAGGAGGAACACCGAUGGCGAAGGCGGCUUACUGG
RNAcentral lists this ribosomal RNA (377 nucleotides) under uncultured bacterium. Its description in RNAcentral is "partial 16S ribosomal RNA". It matches the Rfam family "Bacterial small subunit ribosomal RNA", at positions 338 to 732 of the family's 1533-position model. The record is from RNAcentral.